AAGAAAUCGGAACAAUUAGUUGAACCACUAAAUGACUUUUCUAGUGCUGUUUCGGGUUAGAAUAUGUUACAAUUCAAUAAAUUUGAUUGGUUACAAGUGCUAGAGAUGCAUAAAGAGUGUUUAAAAGUGUGGAGAAAGACUUGUUGAAAUUGGGUCCAAAAUGGGCUAAGAACUCGGAAACAUUGCGUUGAACCACGAAAUGACUUAUCUAGUGUUUUUUUGGGUUAUAAAAUAUUAGGAUACAAUAUAUUUACUUGAUUACAAGUGCUAGAGAUACAUGAAGAGUGUUUAGAAGUGUGGAGAAAGACUUGUUGAAAUUGGCUCCCAAAUGGGCUAGGAACUCAGAAACAUUGCGUUGAACCACGAAACGACUUAUCCAGUGUUGUUUGGGGUUAUAAUAUGUUAUUAUCCAAUAAAAUUUAUAGAUUACAAGUGCUAGAGAUGCAUGAAGAGUGUUUAGAAGUGUGGAGAAAGACUUGUUGAAAUUGGGUCCUAAAUGGGCUACGAACUCGGAUACAUUACGUGUAACCACUAAAUGACUUAUAUAGUGUUGUUUGGGGUUAGAAUAUGAUAGAAUACAAUAAAUUUGAUUGAUUACAAGUGCUAGAGAUGCAUGAAGAGUUUUUAAAAGUGUGGAGAAAGACUUGUUGAAAUUGGGUCCCAAAUGGGCUAAGAACUCAAAAACAUUGCGUUGAACCACGAAAUGACUUAUCUAGUGCUGUUUCGAGUUAGAAUAUGUUAGAAUACAAUAAAUUUUAUUGGUUACAAGUGCUAGAGAUGCAUAAAGAGUGUUUAAAAGUGUGGAGAAAGACUUGUUGAAAUUGGGUCCAAUAUGGGCUAAGAACUCGGAAACAUUGUGUUGAACCACGAAAUAACUUAUCUACUGUUGUUUUUGGUUAUAAUAUAUUAGGAUACAAUAAAUUUAAUUGAUUACAAGUGCUAGAGAUGCAUGAAGAGUGUCUAUAUGGGUGGAGAAAGACAUGAUGAAAUUGGGUUACAAAUGGGCUAAGACCUCGGAAACAUUGUGUUACACCACUAAAU
This 1041-nucleotide long non-coding RNA is filed under the name Capsella rubella. Its description in RNAcentral is "long non-coding RNA (CRUB_LNC000056)". Lineage: Eukaryota; Viridiplantae; Streptophyta; Magnoliopsida; Brassicales; Brassicaceae. The record is from RNAcentral.